This 271-nucleotide ribosomal RNA is filed under the name uncultured prokaryote. RNAcentral's name for it is "partial 16S ribosomal RNA". It matches the Rfam family "Bacterial small subunit ribosomal RNA", at positions 524 to 794 of the family's 1533-position model. The record is from RNAcentral.
UACGGAGGAUGCGAGCGUUAUCCGGAUUUAUUGGGUUUAAAGGGUGCGCAGGCGGGAGAUUAAGUCGGCGGUGAAAUUUUGCAGCUCAACUGUAAAAGUGCCUUCGAAACUGGUUUCCUUGAGUGUGGAUGAGGUAGGCGGAAUUUGUGGUGUAGCGGUGAAAUGCAUAGAUAUCACGAGGAACUCCGAUUGCGCAGGCAGCUUACUAAACCAUAACUGACGCUCAAGCACGAAGGCGUGGGGAUCAAACAGGAUUAGAUACCCCGGUAGU